This is a non-coding RNA of Arachis ipaensis, 238 nucleotides long. Lineage: Eukaryota; Viridiplantae; Streptophyta; Magnoliopsida; Fabales; Fabaceae. The record is from RefSeq and is a predicted model, not a curated record.
CUAAAAUAGCAGAACGGGUGUUAGAGCUGCUAACGGAUCUGCUAUGUUUGGCAAUUUCUGCGAGUCUCAACACUAAGUGACACAGGUUCGAAGACUCAGUUUGAAGCUGCGGGCGAUUAUAGGAUUUAUUUAUGAGUUAAGUGUAUGAGUUAAUUCGCUUUCAUAGAGUUCCCCCGCCCUUAUUGCUUAACAUUUUUAUUUAGUACAGAGGGAUAGGAAUUGUAUUCGAGUUUCAUUU